This 208-nucleotide ribosomal RNA is filed under the name uncultured bacterium. Its description in RNAcentral is "partial 16S ribosomal RNA". It matches the Rfam family "Bacterial small subunit ribosomal RNA", at positions 568 to 774 of the family's 1533-position model. The record is from RNAcentral.
CGUGUAGGCGGGGCGGUGCGUCGGUCGCUGAAAUCCCCCGGCUCAACCGGGGAAGGGGCGCCGAGACGACCGCCCUGGAGCGACGUAGGGGGAACUGGAACUUCCGGUGGAGCGGUGAAAUGCGUUGAGAUCGGAAGGAACGCCCGUGGCGAAAGCGAGUUCCUGGACGUCGGCUGACGCUGAGACGCGAAAGCCAGGGGAGCGAACG